Uranotaenia lowii is the source of this 1136-nucleotide long non-coding RNA. RefSeq lists it as uncharacterized. NCBI's taxonomy places the organism in Eukaryota, Metazoa, Arthropoda, Insecta, Diptera, Culicidae. The transcript has 3 exons. The record is from RefSeq and is a predicted model, not a curated record.
AGUUUCAACUAAGCAUUCGUCGUGAGAGGAAAUCGAGAUGCAUCUGUUUUGACGUUGUUAUUGAUUGAGUUUUGUAAGUCAGAAUGCUGUAAUAAAAAAUAUUCUGUUUACUAGGCCUUUUUUCAAGAAGUACAUACUGGACGAAAUAAUGGGAAUUUAACAAACAUAAUUCUGGGACCCAUAUGUAAAAACGUGCGUUAAGGAAGCUAUUAGAAUCUAAAUUGACAAUCACCUCCUUUCGUACGAGCACUAAAAGUCUGACCACUUGAGAUGUCGCAGACAUCCAGAUGAGAUGAUGCAACCCCGAUUGCCUAUCAUCAUUUUGUGACAAUUAGCACACCGAUUAACGACAGUCUAACGGCCAAACAUGCUUGAAUGAAGGGAAGAAGAAGAAAGGCGAGAGGGCGGCACCAUGUUAAUGAAGACUAUCAACAGCACACUUCCUAUUGCUCGGGAGAAUGAUGAUAAUGGCUAGUUGUUAAUCAUGGAAAUGUAGGGCGUAGAAGCUACUGUCGCGUCUGUUUAGCGGAAGUGCAUCCCGCGACCACGUUAAUUAUUCUUUUAGAAGCAUAAGAAGACAAGCCUCCCGACGGCUUGCAAAUGAUACGAGGUGCAAAUAAGUCAAAGCAAAAACAUAUGCUGUGCGAAAGAUGAAUACGUUCAGAUAAGAUCAUGUUCUUCCAAAACCAAAAUAUAAUUUGGCUACUUGAUGGUUAAUUAAUUUAUUAAUUUAUUUUUUUUCAUUUCAGGUUUAAAAGACAACUGGUUAAUAUUGCUCUAAAUUCAACGGAUGCCAACCUUGAGAUGGAACAACUUGCGUUACAAUCUUCAAUUUGGCUGGCUUUAAGAUUACAGGACGCAGUUUAGCUUAAAAUAUUCUUUUCCACUUCAGCAAGAGAAUAUAAUCUUGUCAAAGUCGGCAAUUCGUUGGACUAGAAAGCCGGACAUUGCGUGUCGAAAUCCUGCUCAGUGCAGGCGAUUUUUUUUUUCAACAUCUGCCAGAUUAAAUAACCUAUUGAAAAAAAAACCUUCGAAAGGUCACCCAGCCUUGCUUGAGGACUAUUUAGUAUUCUUUUCAGCUGAAAAUUUAAGCUCUUAUCUUAUCCACACAUUAUAGAUCUGUGAGCAUUUUCAUG